CCUACGGGAGGCUGCAGUGGGGAAUAUUGCACAAUGGGGGAAACCCUGAUGCAGCGACGCCGCGUGAGUGAAGAAGUAAUUCGUUAUGUAAAGCUCCAUUAGCAGGGAAGAAAAUGACGGUACCUGAGUAAGAAGCCACGGCUAACUACGUGCCAGCAGCCGCGGUAACACGUAGGGGGCCAGCGUUAUCCGGAUUUACUGGGUGUAAAGGGAGCGUAGACGGGAGUGCAAGUCUGGAGUGAAAGGCGGGGGCUCAACCCCCGGACUGCUGUGGAAACUGUACGUCUGGAGUGCAGGAGAGGUAAGUGGAAUUCGUGGUGUAGCGGUGAAAUGCGUAGAUAUUAGGAAGAACACCAGUGGCGAAGGCGGCUUACUGGACUGUAACUGACGUUGAGGCUCGAAAGCGUGGGGAGCAAACAGGAUUAGAUACCCUGGUAGUC
Molecule: ribosomal RNA, 440 nt
Filed under: uncultured bacterium
Lineage: Bacteria
Description: partial 16S ribosomal RNA
Rfam family: Bacterial small subunit ribosomal RNA
Source: RNAcentral